This 457-nucleotide long non-coding RNA is filed under the name Bos taurus (domestic cattle). RNAcentral describes it as "long non-coding RNA NONBTAT000102". Lineage: Eukaryota; Metazoa; Chordata; Mammalia; Artiodactyla; Bovidae. The record is from RNAcentral.
CAAGUUAUAGAUGUUGAAUGAUUAAAAAAAAAAAAAUAGAAGGGGAUUUUAUGGCCCUGACUUGAUCCUGUGCACAGAAAGGAAUUUGGCCUAACCCUGGUUGGACCCACUAGGUUUGCUGUGGGGUCAGACAUGGCCUAGAAUGGCCAAGCUUCAGGCUCCAACAAGCCCCUUCCACUUCCUCCACAGCUUAUGUAACUGAGAUGUCUUUCUACUGUAACAGAAAUAUUAGGCAGAAAUAUUUCCUAGAACCUGGCUGGCCUCCCUGCCCCCAUCCUAACUUAGCAUUCCAGGUUGUCAGGAAACCAGUUCACCUUAGAUACGGAGCACUCUACAGGUUUCUGAGUGGUCAGUUGAGGCCCACAGGACACUAGUCCUCACAGUUAGAGCUGCAGAGCCCUACAGAGCCAUGGAGGAUGGCAUGGCCAUGACCACCUUAUCCAUUUUCCAACUGGUC